GAUGAACGCUAGCGGCAGGCCUAACACAUGCAAGUCGAGGGGCAGCAAGGGUAGCAAUACCUGUUGGCGACCGGCGCACGGGUGAGUAUCGCGUUUGUAACCUACCUUUAACUGGAGGAUAGCCCGAAGAAAUUCGGAUUAAUACUCCAUAAUACUAUGAAUUGGCAUCUUUUUAUAGUUAAAGCUCCGGCGGUUAGAGAUGGGCAUGCGUGACAUUAGUUUGUUGGUGAGGUAACGGCUCACCAAGACUACGAUGUCUAGGGGGUCUGAGAGGAUGGUCCCCCA
RNAcentral lists this ribosomal RNA (285 nucleotides) under uncultured Bacteroidota bacterium. Its description in RNAcentral is "uncultured Bacteroidetes bacterium partial 16S ribosomal RNA". It matches the Rfam family "Bacterial small subunit ribosomal RNA", at positions 28 to 310 of the family's 1533-position model. Lineage: Bacteria; Pseudomonadati; Bacteroidota. The record is from RNAcentral.